UUCGCAAUGCCCGAAAGGGUGACGAAGCGACGCCGCGUGAGCGAAGAAGGCCCUAGGGUUGUAAAGCUCUGUCAGGGGUUAUGAAAUGUAGACUAGCUAAUACCUGGUUUAUUUGACGAAGGCUCCAAAGGAAGCCACGGCUAACUCUGUGCCAGCAGCCGCGGUAAUACAGAGGUGGCAAGCGUUGUUCGGAAUUAUUGGGCGUAAAGAGCACGUAGGUGGAUUUGUAAGUCAGAUGUGAAAGCCUUCUGUUCAACGGGAGAAUUGCAUCUGAAACUACAGACCUUGAGUAUAGGAGGGGAGAAUGGAACUUCUGGUGGAGCGGUGAAAUGCGUAGAUAUCAGAAGGAACGCCGGCGGCGAAAGCGAUUCUCUGGCCUAUUACUGACACUCAGUGUGCGAAAGCUAGGGGAGCAAACGGGAUUAGAUACCCCGGUAGUCCUAGCCGUAAACGAUGGGCACUAAGUAGAGGGGUUUUA
This 478-nucleotide ribosomal RNA is filed under the name uncultured bacterium. RNAcentral describes it as "bacterial SSU rRNA". It matches the Rfam family "Bacterial small subunit ribosomal RNA", at positions 365 to 833 of the family's 1533-position model. The record is from RNAcentral.